UACGGAGGGUGCGAGCGUUGUCCGGAAUCACUGGGCGUAAAGGGCGCGUAGGCGGCGCGGGUAGUCAUCGGUGAAAGCUCAGGGCUCAACUCUGAGUCGGCCGGUGAUACUCCCGUGCUCGAGCACUGUAGAGGCAGGUGGAAUUCCGGGUGUAGCGGUGGAAUGCGUAGAGAUCCGGAAGAACACCGGUGGCGAAGGCGGCCUGCUGGGCAGUAGCUGACGCUGAUGCGCGACAGCGUGGGGAGCAAACAGG
RNAcentral lists this ribosomal RNA (253 nucleotides) under uncultured bacterium. Its description in RNAcentral is "partial 16S ribosomal RNA". It matches the Rfam family "Bacterial small subunit ribosomal RNA", at positions 524 to 776 of the family's 1533-position model. The record is from RNAcentral.